GUUGAACGCUGGCGGCAUGCCUUACACAUGCAAGUCGAACGGCAGCACGGGAGCAAUCCUGGUGGCGAGCGGCGAACGGGUGAGUAAAGUAUCGGAACGUGCCCAGUCGUGGGGGAUAACGUAGCGAAAGUUACGCUAAUACCGCAUACGAUCUAUGGAUGAAAGCGGGGGAUCGGAAGACCUCGCGCGAUUGGAGCGGCCGAUAUCAGAUUAGGUAGUUGGUGGGGUAAAGGCUCACCAAGCCGACGAUCUGUAGCUGGUCUGAGAGGACGACCAGCCACACUGGGACUGAGACACGGCCCAGACUCCUACGGGAGGCAGCAGUGGGGAAUUUUGGACAAUGGGCGAAAGCCUGAUCCAGCCAUGCCGCGUGCAGGAUGAAGGCCUUCGGGUUGUAAACUGCUUUUGUACGGAACGAAAAGGUUUGGCCUAAUAAGCUGAGCUCAUGACGGUACCGUAAGAAUAAGCACCGGCCAACUACGUGCCAGCCGCCGCCGUAA
This 500-nucleotide ribosomal RNA is filed under the name uncultured bacterium. RNAcentral's name for it is "partial 16S ribosomal RNA". It matches the Rfam family "Bacterial small subunit ribosomal RNA", at positions 28 to 523 of the family's 1533-position model. The record is from RNAcentral.